RNAcentral lists this ribosomal RNA (250 nucleotides) under uncultured prokaryote. RNAcentral describes it as "partial 16S ribosomal RNA". It matches the Rfam family "Bacterial small subunit ribosomal RNA", at positions 524 to 773 of the family's 1533-position model. The record is from RNAcentral.
UACGUAGGGGGCAAGCGUUAUCCGGAUUUACUGGGUGUAAAGGGAGUGUAGGCGGCGAUGCAAGUCAGAUGUGAAAGCCCGGGGCUUAACCCCGGGACUGCAUUUGAAACUGCAUUGCUAGAGUAUCGGAGAGGUAAGCGGAAUUCCUAGUGUAGCGGUGAAAUGCAUAGAUAUUAGGAAGAACACCGGUGGCGAAGGCGGCUUACUGGACGAUAACUGACGCUGAGGCUCGAAAGCGUGGGGAGCAAAC